UCACCCCACAUCAUUUAGAUUUUCGAGUCGGCCGAGUGCCUGCUGACCUGUCAACAGCCUAUUAAGGCCAUUCAAAACAAAUUGAAACCAUUAAUGGACCUGACCAUUUAACCUUAAGGUCGGCGGACAGGCCGGGAGCUCUGGCGGGCUUUAGAGAAAGCAUCAAACCUCAUCCACGGGCAGGGUGAGGUUUCAUAAGCCUUCUGUUUCAGACCUUCCCACACACUCAGUUGUGAAUCUUUGGAAUUCUCCACCCCAGAGAGUUGUGGAUGCUCCAUCGUUGGAUACGUUUAAGGUU
Carcharodon carcharias (great white shark) is the source of this 298-nucleotide long non-coding RNA. RefSeq lists it as uncharacterized. Lineage: Eukaryota; Metazoa; Chordata; Chondrichthyes; Lamniformes; Lamnidae. The transcript has 2 exons. The record is from RefSeq and is a predicted model, not a curated record.